GGGUGUGGGGUGUGGGGUGUGGGGGAGAAGGUCUAACAGGACUAUUGGGCACAGUCCUGUGCUGCUAAAGGGAUGGGAGGCAGGAUAAAAACUGAAGUUAAACUACCCCUCACCGGACCCGGGGAUUCUAGGUUGGGUAGUCAAGGCACAGAGAGACAGAAAGGAGUUGAAGGGGAGUGAAGGUGAGGAUGGACACAUGGUACCCCCUCCUUCAGUUCUGAUCACGCAUAUGGGGGGGGGGAUCGCCUUCUCUCCGUUCCACUUUUUGCUGGGAAUCACGUACACUGGUCUCAGCAUCCCUACCCAGCUUCCCCUCAGCUAAGGCUGAGAAGCACCUCGCUGCUAACUCGGACCUAGGGCACGAUAACAGCUUAGCCCAGCCAAGCUCAUCAGCCAACCCCCGCCAACUUCUUCCAGGCAGGGUAAGGCCCCUCUAAACCUUGGUGAAAACUUGGAUUUCUCCGAUGCAGGGUGUCAGGCUCCACUUCUCUACCCCCUGGGCAAGAGAGCAGCCGGAGGUGUGAGUCACUCCCAGGGGAGGGGGGGAAGGGGCUCGAAGCCCCAGGUUUGCUUCCCAAAGGUAGGGGAUGGGGGGGGAGGGUGGCCAUAACACCACCAACAGCCGCGGCGCCUCCUUCUCACCUGGUCUGACGGCCUUGAAGGUGACGGACUCCUUGCAGCUCUGAAUAACUCCCAACACGUCGUAGCGGGGCAAGCCGGACACGCGAACCCCGUGCACCUCCAGCAGCAACUCGCCCUCGCUGAGACUGUUGCCCUCGCCGCCGCUGGCAAGCCCCAGCUCCGCGUCCGGCUCCACGGAGCCCACGUAGGGGAACUCGCCGUACUCGGCUCCCCCCAGGACGGUCAGCCCCAGCUCGCCCUGGGGCCCCCGGCUCAGGGUGCACUGAUGCACCUUGGUGGUCCAGUGAUUCUUCUUCUGGAUGACUUUGGACAUGGUGCUGGCCGCGCGUGUGGCGUCCACUCACCCCCUCACGCCCGACCCACACGCGAGUGCACACGCACAGCGAGCGGACCCGAAGAUACACAGGAAUGCGAAACAGGUGGCCCAAGACAGCAACAGCCCCAGCCCCGGCCCCGAAGAUCAGCUGGGGCGCAGGACGGGCAUGUCCCCAGAGGGCACCCCCAAAGACAGAAGCAUAAGAAAGAAACUUUGCCCGCUCGCCCUCCCCCAGCUCAAGCCAUCCUUAGGCAAACUUUCUCAGCGCCUCCGGGCUCCCGCCCCAGCCCGCGGCCAGCUUUGUUUGCAUUCCAGUCCCGGGAGAUCCACGCUUCGCAAGCCGGCCCGGAGCGCCCAGGGACCGCAGCCCACUCCGGGCUGGUACCUCCCUCCUCUCCCUCUCUUUUGCCUCUCUGUGCGGUGGUCUUCCUCGCGGACGCUUUCCUCGGUCGCGCUAUCUCCCGAGGAUUUGGAAUGGGGUUUAGCCUGGGCCAGGCUCGGCGGCCGGGGUUUGGGUCCCCAGCGCCGCUGGACAGGCAGACCAGGAUCCAGAGCGCAGGCACGCCGACCCUGAGCCUAUUAACCUCCCCUGGCCAGUGGCCAACCCGGCUGCCAGUCAGGGAGCCGGCCCAGCCCGCCCCUCCCUUUCCCGCUUGGACUCUGACUCCCCGAGGCCAGCCGGGGAGGCGUGGGGACUGACUGCGCAGGGCUGGCCCGACGGAGGACUGAGCCAACUGUUCUGCCCCACCAGCGAAGGACCAGACGCACUCCGCGAACCCUAGCCUUGAUCUCCUGCCCUUAAGGGCAGGCGGACCCGGGUGGCCUAGGCCUCUGGCCGGGGUGGGUGGCUGAGCUCUGCUCUUCUCUCUCCAUCCCUGGGUGGGGUGUGGUCCCCCUGGGGACCAAAAGGCGAGCCCUUCUGGGCAUCAUAUGAGCGUCACAUAUUGGUAAAUGACUUACUUUUUAAAGAGUUCCAAGAGCGGUGGAGAAAGCCCUGCAUCAUAGAGUCUAGAGACCUGAGUACAAAUUCUGACGUGGCUGUGUGAUCUUACUGUGUGACCUUAGGCAAACCACUCAACUAUCUGGGCCUCAGUUCCUUCAUUUGUAAAAUGAGAGGGUUGGACCAAAUCAUCUCUAAAGCCGCUUCCAGGUUUGAUCCUAAGAUCCUACCGAGACUUUGGAAGAGUGAUAAAGAAAAUGCAUUUGGGGAGAGUUUGAAUUUUUAAACCCUUCGGUUCAGUAGCAAUUCUGCUAUUGUCUCUGUGAGACCACUCUGUCCACGGUGACCCAGGCUUUGCUCUUUGGAACCCCUGGGUUGGAACCCCUGGGUUACUCAAUCAUUGGAGAAAGUGUUUUCCUGGCUGUUAAUGAGUGUCCCAGGACUCUGUAGACGUAACCUGUAACAUAAGCAGGAAAAAGGCUAGUCACUCUGCUUAUUUUCUAACCAUUCCUGCCUCUCAGGUACCAUUCUUACUGGCAAACUGCACUAGCAACUCACCCAUCAUCUUUCUAUGGUUUACUCAUCUCUGCUUCAGAAUUCUUGCCUCUACAGGACUCUCCAAUGUUAUAAUAAACUAAUUUCUGUUGCACA
Molecule: long non-coding RNA, 2549 nt
Filed under: Phascolarctos cinereus (koala)
Lineage: Eukaryota; Metazoa; Chordata; Mammalia; Diprotodontia; Phascolarctidae
Description: lncRNA (ENSPCIG00000032921.1)
Source: RNAcentral